GCGAAAGUGGCGAAAUUGGCAGACGCACCAGACUUAGGAUCUGGCGCCGUAAGGCGUGGGGGUUCGAGUCCCCCCUUUCGCA
This 82-nucleotide transfer RNA is filed under the name Acidobacteriota bacterium. RNAcentral describes it as "Acidobacteria bacterium (wastewater metagenome) tRNA-Leu". It matches the Rfam family "tRNA". From Rfam's summary of the family: Transfer RNA (tRNA) molecules are approximately 80 nucleotides in length. Their secondary structure includes four short double-helical elements and three loops (D, anti-codon, and T loops). Lineage: Bacteria; Pseudomonadati; Acidobacteriota. RNAcentral also lists the same sequence under 2 other names. The record is from RNAcentral.